RNAcentral lists this ribosomal RNA (796 nucleotides) under uncultured Chloroflexota bacterium. Its description in RNAcentral is "bacterial SSU rRNA". It matches the Rfam family "Bacterial small subunit ribosomal RNA", at positions 56 to 860 of the family's 1533-position model. Lineage: Bacteria; Bacillati; Chloroflexota. The record is from RNAcentral.
UGCAAGUCGAACGAGAAGGUUCUAUUCUUCGGAAAAGAACUGGAAAGUGGCGAACGGGUGAGUAACGCGUUGGUGACCUGCCCCAAAGAGAGGGACAACAGAACGAAAGAUCUGCUAAUACCUCAUGUGGUCUAAGUAGUUAGAGAGCUUAGAUUAAAGGAUUUAUCCGCUUUGGGAGGGGCCUGCGUCCCAUCAGCUAGUUGGUAAGGUAACGGCUUACCAAGGCGAUGACGGGUAGGGGACCUGAGAGGGUGGUCCCCCACAAUGGAACUGAAACACGGUCCAUACACCUACGGGUGGCAGCAGUAGGGAAUAUUGCACAAUGGGCGAAAGCCUGAUGCAGCAACACCGCGUGUGUGAUGAAGGCCUUCGGGUCGUAAAGCACUUUUACGAGGGAAGAGGAAGGACUGUACCUCGUGAAUAAGGGUCGGCUAACUACGUGCCAGCAGCCGCGGUAACACGUAGGACCCGAGCGUUAUCCGGAUUUACUGGGCGUAAAGCGCGUGCAGGUGGUUUAGUAAGUUAGAUGUUAAAGCUCCGGGCUUAACCCGGAGAGGUCGUUUAAAACUGCUAGACUUGAGGACGGUAGAGGAAGGUAGAAUUCCGUGUGUAGUGGUGAAAUGCGUAGAUAUACGGAGGAAUACCAGUGGCGAAGGCGGCCUUCUGGCCCGCUCCUGACACUCAGACGCGAAAGCUAGGGUAGCGAACGGGAUUAGAAACCCCGGUAGUCCUAGCCGUAAACGAUGCAUACUUGGCGUUGGUGUGGUAAAACACAUCAGUGCCGAAGCUAACGCGA